RNAcentral lists this ribosomal RNA (429 nucleotides) under Gemmatimonadota bacterium. RNAcentral describes it as "Gemmatimonadetes bacterium partial 16S ribosomal RNA". It matches the Rfam family "Bacterial small subunit ribosomal RNA", at positions 355 to 776 of the family's 1533-position model. Lineage: Bacteria; Pseudomonadati; Gemmatimonadota. The record is from RNAcentral.
UAGGGAAUCUUCGGCAAUGGACGAAAGUCUGACCGAGCAACGCCGCGUGAGUGAAGAAGGUGUUCGGAUCGUAAAACUCUGUGGUUAGAGAAGAACAAGGACGUUAGUAACUGAACGUCCACUGACGGUAUCUAACCAGAAAGCCACGGCUAACUACGUGCCAGCAGCCGCGGUAAUACGUAGGUGGCAAGCGUUGUCCGGAUUUAUUGGGCGUAAAGCGAGCGCAGGCGGUUUCUUAAGUCUGAUGUGAAAGCCCCCGGCUCAACCGUGGAGGGUCUGUGGAAACUGGGAGACUAGAGUGCAGAAGGGGGGAGUGGAAUUCCAUGUGUAGCGGUGAAAUGCGUAGAUAUAUGGAGGAACACCAGUGGCGAAGGCGGCUCUCUGGUCUGUAACUGACGCUGAGGCUCGAAAGCGUGGGGAGCAAACAGG